UCAAAAACAAAGAAUGACCCACUUUUAGUAUUUGAUGCACAAGGAUUUUCACGGUCCCAUAAAAAGGUCAAUGGGGUGGCAAACAGUGACAAACACCUACAAAACUCUACUCAACCGGUUGGCUUUCUCUCUCUCUCUCUCUCGCCUUAUAUCCUUCCCUUUCUAAAAGGUUCCAAAACAAAUACCAUUGUCCUUUCCUUCGUCUCUCUUGCUCAGAUUGGAAUGGAGUCCCAAACUCCCAAGCGUGGUGGAGGCAUGAGUUGGAAAUUUG
RNAcentral lists this unclassified non-coding RNA (271 nucleotides) under Hevea brasiliensis (rubber tree). Lineage: Eukaryota; Viridiplantae; Streptophyta; Magnoliopsida; Malpighiales; Euphorbiaceae. The record is from RNAcentral.